Molecule: unclassified non-coding RNA, 365 nt
Filed under: Hevea brasiliensis (rubber tree)
Lineage: Eukaryota; Viridiplantae; Streptophyta; Magnoliopsida; Malpighiales; Euphorbiaceae
Source: RNAcentral
UCCCUGAUUGGGAGGAGUGGAAGAAGUAGAAGCCAUGAUCAGUGAUAACAGAAGGAUCUUGUGCAGCUGAGUUUGGAGAAGGUAGAGAAAGCAAAAUACAAGAGAUGAAUAUUUGGGUAAACUAGUCUGAUGCAAGAAAUUUAUGAACAAAUGAAGAGCUUUUAGUCAACAUCAGAUUUGCCUUCCAGGAAGGACCGUAUAGCUCCAUUUGGUCCACACAAUUAAAUGCAAAACAGUAGAGUGGGUCUAAUAAUUGAUUGGGAUUCAAUUCUAAACUUGGCGUGUGGGAUUGAAGCAUUGCAGCUUUAACAAAAGCUUUUCCUUUACUUUCAGCUCUUCCACUGUGCUUCUUCCCACCAAUGUGG